UGUUGGGAGCUACAUAAGUAACAUGUUCGAGGACAGGCAAAUUCUUUUGGCAUCUGAAAUUAUGGUUUGUGUUGGUAUACUGAUGAGCUUUAAUGUUAUAAUCCCGUAUUCUGUGCCACAAUAUGUUUGCUCGGGGCUCUUAUUAUUUGUAUCUGCCGAAGUGUUAGAAGGUGUAAAUUUGUCACUCCUCUCACGAGUCAUGUCAUCUAGGCUUUCUCGUGGAACCUACAACGGUGGCCUCUUGUCUACAGAAGCUGGAACCAUUGCUCGGGUGAUUGCAGAUGCAACCAUAACUCUCGCUGGGUACUUAGGCGAGAGUAUGCUCUUGAAUGUUACUCUUCUCCCUUCGUUCUUCAUAUGCAUUGUCUCCAUUCUCG
This 377-nucleotide unclassified non-coding RNA is filed under the name Hevea brasiliensis (rubber tree). Lineage: Eukaryota; Viridiplantae; Streptophyta; Magnoliopsida; Malpighiales; Euphorbiaceae. The record is from RNAcentral.